Molecule: ribosomal RNA, 292 nt
Filed under: uncultured bacterium
Lineage: Bacteria
Description: partial 16S ribosomal RNA
Rfam family: Bacterial small subunit ribosomal RNA
Source: RNAcentral
GUGCCAGCCGCCGCGGUAAUACGUAGGGGCCGAGCGUUGUCCGGAGUUACUGGGCGUAAAGCGCGCGCAGGCGGCCACUUAAGCCCGGCGUGAAAGCCCCCGGCUCAACCGGGGAGGGUCGUCGGGGACUGGGUGGCUUGAGGACGGCAGGGGCUGGUGGAAUCCCCGGUGUAGUGGUGAAAUGCGUAGAGAUCGGGGGGAACACCCGUGGCGAAGGCGGCCAGCUGGGCCGGUCCUGACGCUGAGGCGCGAAGGCGUGGGGAGCGAACGGGAUUAGAUACCCGCGUAGUCC